GCUCCUAUGGCGGAAUGGUAGACGCGCUGGUCUUAGGAACCAGUGGGAAACCGUGAGAGUUCGAAUCUCUCUAGGAGUA
Molecule: transfer RNA, 79 nt
Filed under: compost metagenome
Description: tRNA-Leu
Rfam family: tRNA
About the family: Transfer RNA (tRNA) molecules are approximately 80 nucleotides in length. Their secondary structure includes four short double-helical elements and three loops (D, anti-codon, and T loops).
Source: RNAcentral